This 278-nucleotide ribosomal RNA is filed under the name uncultured eukaryote. RNAcentral's name for it is "partial 18S ribosomal RNA". It matches the Rfam family "Eukaryotic small subunit ribosomal RNA", at positions 21 to 264 of the family's 1831-position model. The record is from RNAcentral.
UAGUCAUAUGCUUGUCUCAAAGACUAAGCCAUGCAUGUCUAAGUAUAAACACCUUUAUACUGCGAAACUGCGAACGGCUCAUUAUAUCAGUUAUAAUCUACUUGAUCGUAUCCUCUUACUUGGAUAACCGUAGUAAUUCUAGAGCUAAUACAUGCAAAAGUUCCCGACUGGUGACGGAAGGGAAGUAUUUAUUAGGUCCAAAAUCAAUGCUGGCCAUUCCAAACUGGGUGGGUCAAACUGCCUGGGGUCAGGAAAGUUGAUGAUUCAUAAUAACUAAA